RNAcentral lists this ribosomal RNA (465 nucleotides) under uncultured bacterium. RNAcentral's name for it is "partial 16S ribosomal RNA". It matches the Rfam family "Bacterial small subunit ribosomal RNA", at positions 28 to 507 of the family's 1533-position model. The record is from RNAcentral.
GACGGACGCUGGCGGCGUGCUUAACACAUGCAAGUCGAACGGAAAGGCCCCAGCUUGCUGGGGUACUAGAGUGGCGAACGGGUGAGUAACACGUGGGUGAUCUGCCCUGCACUCUGGGAUAAGCCUGGGAAACUGGGUCUAAUACCGGAUAGGACCGUGCUUUAGUGUGUGCGGUGGAAAGUUUUUCGGUGCAGGAUGAGCCCGCGGCCUAUCAGCUUGUUGGUGGGGUAAUGGCCUACCAAGGCGGCGACGGGUAGCCGGCCUGAGAGGGUGUACGGCCACAUUGGGACUGAGACACGGCCCAGACUCCUACGGGAGGCAGCAGUGGGGAAUAUUGCACAAUGGGCGCAAGCCUGAUGCAGCGACGCCGCGUGGGGGAUGACGGCCUUCGGGUUGUAAACCCCUUUCGGCAGGGACGAAGCUUUUGUGACGGUACCUGCAUAAGAAGCACCGGCUAACUACGUG